RNAcentral lists this ribosomal RNA (495 nucleotides) under uncultured bacterium. RNAcentral's name for it is "partial 16S ribosomal RNA". It matches the Rfam family "Bacterial small subunit ribosomal RNA", at positions 28 to 507 of the family's 1533-position model. The record is from RNAcentral.
GACGAACGCUGGCGGCGUGCCUAAUACAUGCAAGUAGAACGCUGAAGGAGGAGCUUGCUUCUCUGGAUGAGUUGCGAACGGGUGAGUAACGCGUAGGUAACCUGCCUGGUAGCGGGGGAUAACUAUUGGAAACGAUAGCUAAUACCGCAUAAGAGUAGAUGUCGCAUGACAUUUGCUUAAAAGGUGCAAUUGCAUCACUACCAGAUGGACCUGCGUUGUAUUAGCUAGUUGGUGAGGUAACGGCUCACCAAGGCAACGAUACAUAGCCGACCUGAGAGGGUGAUAGGCCACACUGGGACUGAGACACGGCCCAGACUCCUACGGGAGGCAGCAGAAGGGAAUAUUCGGCAAUGGACGGAAGUCUGACCGAGCAACGCCGCGUGAGUGAAGAAGGUUUUCGGAUCGUAAAGCUAUGUUGUAAGAGAAGAACGAGUGUGAGAGUGGAAAGUUCACACUGUGACGGUAUCUUAACAGAAAGGGACGGCUAACUACGUG